GCCGCAACCGCCGCGACGAGUCCCAACGACGGCGCCAUCCCGGGCACCGCCAUCACGCCCAUCACCGCCACCACGGCGCCCGCCAGCAUCCUGGUGCGCAAGGGGUCGCGCGGCCGCCCCCCGUCACCCGUCCUCAUUUAGGAUGUGUCAGCAAUAUCGUGAAGAAUUUCCAGUUCAUAGAGCGCAGUUUCAACUUCUCAUCGUGGACAGUGAUAAAAACAAGCUUUCUUCAAAGAAGUAUUCACGACACAAAAAGUGGUGUGAACUUGCAGGCAUCAUUUGCCUUUUUGAAGGUGUGGUCCCUAACACAAACAGUUUUCCUUUUUUUUAAAGUGCGCAAGAAAUCUUAGUGCCUUUAUCAUUGCCUCAUUUUGGACAAGACCUCAAAUGAAAUAGGCAGUUUGAAGUGUAUUUUUACCUCAAAUGUGUGUCCAUCCAUGUGGCACGUCGACAAUAGAACUUUGUCGGGUGCUCAAAUUGAUCUCUCACAAGAUGUAGUAUUUUGUAAGAGAAAAAUUCUUUCAUACAAUGUUAUUUAAAUGUCAUUGUUGUUGUAUAGUUUUAUUAUAAGGCAGAGCAAGUUGUUGACAGUUCCUGUUUUCUUUAUUAUGGGUCAGAAAUGACUGAUUCAUUGAUUCAUUUCCGAAUCCUAUUGUUUCAGUCUCAGUCAUAUCUUCCAGUCCUUUAAUUUUGGAAAUUGUUUGCUCCUCUACCAGUAUUAAUAAGAAUGUUAAAAUCAUGCUGGAGAAAUGAUUCGCUCAUCCAAAUUUAGCGCUCAUUCUGAAUGAGAUUUACAAAUGUAGGAUUCCUCUCGGUUUUACUCUAAAAGACAAAGGGAGUGAAUAAUGUAUCGCCCUGUGGGCAGCUACAGCACAAAAAAUUAAAAAGCUUUCUUUCACUCAGUAGGAAAUGAAGCUAUAUUGGAAGAAUUGCCGCCGUCCUUCUUCAUUUGAAGAUACUGCCAGAAAGGCAAUAAAGGGUCAUUCCAUUCCAAAUUAAAUCAGAGAUUUAAGAAAUUUCGAAUACACUAUGUACUGUGAUUUAGUAGUCUCCCUAUAUUGCCAUUUUUUUCCUUUUGUCACUCCUUUUUCCUUGAUAGCAUUGCAUAGCAAUUAGUUUGGCAGAAGUUCUCUCCAUGAUUCUACCUUUAUAUUUUUUGUUUUGGAAUUGGACGGUGCUAUUAGAAGUUACCUCUGCAUGGAAUGACCCUUAAGAGUGUUCAACUCAUCCAUAUCUCUUUAUCACUGGUGGAUAUUGUGAUAACCAUUAAUGAAUUAUAUAUUGUAUAUAUAAUGUGAGUGAAAGAAUUUUUCUUUGUUCCUCUCUUGGCAAGAAUGGAGAUUUUAUUAUUAAUAAGUGUACUGUUAUUCAGAUGCUGAACUCAAGCUGACUUGCCAUUCAAGUAAAGAUAUUCUCAGUGACAGUUUGUUAUUGAGAGAAGGGAUAAUGCUUUGGUUAAUACUGGUGAUUAAUGUUCUGUAAAAAUAGUACCACUGAUCGGACAUAACAGCAAACACAGCAGAAUACGUAAAGUAAGGUCACUGUCUCUUCCAAUUUCUUUCAUUAAGGCUGUAAAUUCUUUACACAGCAAAAAAAAGUGGGUACUCUUUAUGGGCAAUAGGAGAUUCAAAAAUGGGAUCCAGAGUUGCCAUAUAAGCCACGUUGAGGCAUGUGUCAUUUCAGUUUGUACAGAUUGUUUUUCACAAUGGCUCAAUGUAAAUUAGAAAUCAUAUGGAAGCAUUCCCUGUUUAGAUGUAACUUUAUCAGACCAAUUUCUUCAAAUACACAAAGAAAUUUAGAGAUUCUAUUGUCCACUAAGGAAACUGAGCUUGCUAAUUUUUCCAUGCAUACUGGUGAAAGUGUAUGGGUUUAACUCUCAAAAAGAAGGCUGGUAACUGGCAUGUCUAAUUCCAGAGCUCUCUAGCUUACUCCAUGCUUAUGUAUGACUUUGUUUGUCUCUUUUCUAAAUGAAAUCAGUAGUGUAUCACAAUAUUUACCGAGUCCAUCAUAUGGAAUAUAUGAAAUAGAGAGAGCUUUGAGAUAAACACAUCUAACACAAUAAUUGCAUUUUUGUAGAUUAUGUGCUCUUCUCAUGUGUUUUGUGAAUAGAUCAUGAUGAAUCACCUCAUAUAACUACAUCUAAAAUAUUUUGUUUAGUCUGGUCAUGUAUUCAUAUGAAUGGUUGCAGUUUAAUCGAUUAUUUAAAUAAUGUUGUUUAUAUAACGUAUAUGAAACGUAAAUAAUUUUAUUGAACUGUAUUUGCUAAAAAAAUAGUACAGCAAAAGUAAAAGUAUCCAGUCUCUCCAAUGGAUCUUUUCAUUAUAUACAGAGAGAGGCUCAUAUGAAAAGGAUCUAGCCAUGUCCUAUCAUCUUAUUAUUUUUUCCAUAUGAAUUCUUCUGUUUGCUUUGUUCUUUUCUAUUGCAAACAGAAGAUGUAAAAGAGCAUGCCCUCAGAUUUUGGCCCUACAAUCUGCAGUUUUCAAUAUAUUAUUGUGAUAUCUUAUUCUGAGUUGCUUCACGACCAAUCAUUCCUACAUAAAUUGUUUUUAAUAAAAGUCCUUUCCCAGCAAAUUUGACUUGAAGAAUUAAAAACGCCAUGGCCAUGAUAAAUGAAGGGUAUUCGAAAUGUAGUUUUCACAAACUAAUGAAAAUUUCCUAUCCCUAAGCUAUUGGUGCUCAUUUUACCAACUUGGAAACGGCCUGUAAUAAAAUUUUGAAAAGUCACAUAAGAGGUAAAGUGGUGCAGUUGUCGUAUGGAUUCAAAUGUUUCAAGUAUUAUCCUAUUGCAUUUUUCUUAUGUAACAUUUUAGACAUAUAACAUUUCUUUCUUAAACUAACAGCUAGGUAGAAUUUUGGUGUUUCAGUUUCACCAGACAAGUUAUCUUGAAUUUCUGAUUGUUUAUCCUUUUUAAAUUGACUUUUGUGUGUGUGUAUGUGUGUUGUUUUCUAUUGUCUUGCUGUUUUCUCAAUGAGACUUCCGCCAUUGCACACUGAGUGUCCAGAGUGAGUUUUCUGACAUCACUUCGUUAGAGUUAAAACAACUCUCCAGGACAAUGUUGGCUCUGCUGUGAUUUCGGUACAUUAGGUACUUAAUGCUUACCUUAUGAGCUAUGUAUCAUAAGUAGUAUUGUAUAGAGUUUAAUUUAAAAAGUGUGCUAAAGAAUGACACAGGGCGAAUUAAAAUUUGUCUGCCUUGGUUUUAACUGUUCAAGAUCAUCAGAUUUUAUAAAAAUAAACAGGCUACACUGACAAGGGCUGUGUCUCUAAGGGUGGACUUUAAGGUAAUCCCGUUUUAGGGAUUUAGGAGGAAAGCAUGCACCUGUGUUUUAUAAAAAUGAGCCUUUAAGAAGUUCAUACAUUAUGAACUCCCUGAAGAAAAGCCACCAACAACUACAUGGCUAAAAUCAAGCUAUUUAAUGCAGGAAUGUGAAAGAUCUGUAUCUAGUCAUAACCCUUGUCAAACAACGCGUCUCUAGGAAACAUUUGAAAUAAAUAUCCAUUCUCUAUAA
This 3509-nucleotide long non-coding RNA is filed under the name Thrips palmi. Its description in RNAcentral is "uncharacterized LOC117642666". Lineage: Eukaryota; Metazoa; Arthropoda; Insecta; Thysanoptera; Thripidae. The record is from RNAcentral.